GAUGAACGCUGGCGGCGUGCCUAAUACAUGCAAGUCGAGCGAACAGACGAGGAGCUUGCUCCUCUGACGUUAGCGGCGGACGGGUGAGUAACACGUGGAUAACCUACCUAUAAGACUGGGAUAACUUCGGGAAACCGGAUCUAAUACCGGAUAAUAUAUUGAACCGCAUGGUUCAAUAGUGAAAGACGGUUUUGCUGUCACUUAUAGAUGGAUCCGCGCCGCAUUAGCUAGUUGGUAAGGUAACGGCUUACCAAGGCAACGAUGCGUAGCCGACCUGAGAGGGUGACCGGCCACACUGGAACUGAGACACGGUCCAGACUCCUACGGGAGGCAGCAGUGGGGAAUCUUCCGCAAAGGGCGAAAGCCUGACGGAGCAACGCCGCGUGAGUGAUGAAGGUCUUCGGAUCGUAAACCUCUUUUAUUAGGGAAGAAAAAAUGUGUACGAAACUCUCCACGUCUUGACGGUACCUAAUCAGAAAGCAACGGCUAACUACGUG
RNAcentral lists this ribosomal RNA (497 nucleotides) under uncultured bacterium. RNAcentral's name for it is "partial 16S ribosomal RNA". It matches the Rfam family "Bacterial small subunit ribosomal RNA", at positions 28 to 507 of the family's 1533-position model. The record is from RNAcentral.